This is a long non-coding RNA of Ornithorhynchus anatinus (platypus), 224 nucleotides long. RefSeq lists it as uncharacterized. NCBI's taxonomy places the organism in Eukaryota, Metazoa, Chordata, Mammalia, Monotremata, Ornithorhynchidae. The record is from RefSeq and is a predicted model, not a curated record. The transcript has 3 exons.
GAGGAGGAGGCGGCGGCGCCGCCGAGUUACUUAGUUGUUGUCGGGCGGUGUCAGUUGGUCCCGGGCGGAUCGGGAUUGAUUCCCUCGGUCGGAGAGGACGUGGUGGUGAUGGUGGAGGGGACCGGGACGGCGCCGGCUCCCCGCAGAUGACUGCCCCGACGGCACCUUCUUUUCUGUGAGGAUCUGUGUAACAAGCCAUCAUCAAGGUGAGGUAACUGAGGCAC